This 219-nucleotide ribosomal RNA is filed under the name uncultured bacterium. RNAcentral describes it as "partial 16S ribosomal RNA". It matches the Rfam family "Bacterial small subunit ribosomal RNA", at positions 1282 to 1500 of the family's 1533-position model. The record is from RNAcentral.
GCCAUCUCAGUUCGGAUUGCAGCCUGCAACUCGGCUGCAUGAAGCUGGAAUCGCUAGUAAUCGCAGAUCAGAAUGCUGCGGUGAAUACGUUCCCGGGUCUUGUACACACCGCCCGUCACACCAUGGGAGUUGGAAAUGCCCGAAGUCAGUGACCGAACCGAAAGGAAGGAGCUGCCGAAGGUGGAGCCGAUGACUGGGGUGAAGUCGUAACAAGGUAUC